CUACGUGCCAGCAGCCGCGGUAAUACGUAGGUGGCGAGCGUUAUCCGGAAUUAUUGGGCGUAAAGGGUGCGUAGGCGGCCUGUUAAGUAAGUGGUUAAAUUGUUGGGCUCAACCCAAUCCAGCCACUUAAACUGGCAGGCAAGAGUAUUGGAGAGGCAAGUGGAAUUCCAUGUGUAGCGGUAAAAUGCGUAGAUAUAUGGAGGAACACCAGUGGCGAAGGCGGCUUGCUAGCCAAAGACUGACGCUCAUGCACGAAAGCGUGGGGAGCAAAUAGGAUUAGAUACCCUAGUAGUCCACGCCGUAAACGAUGAAUACUAAGUAUUGGGGAAACUCAGUGCUGCAGCUAACGCAAUAAGUAUUCCGCCUGUGGAGUAUGCACGCAAGUGUGAAACAUAAAGGAAUUGACGGGGGCCCGCACAAGCGGUGGAGUAUGUGGUUUAAUUCGACGCAACGCGAAGAACCUUACCAGGCCUUGACAUCCCUUGCAAAGCUGUAGAGAUA
Molecule: ribosomal RNA, 501 nt
Filed under: uncultured bacterium
Lineage: Bacteria
Description: bacterial SSU rRNA
Rfam family: Bacterial small subunit ribosomal RNA
Source: RNAcentral